RNAcentral lists this ribosomal RNA (660 nucleotides) under Lysinibacillus sphaericus. RNAcentral describes it as "bacterial SSU rRNA". It matches the Rfam family "Bacterial small subunit ribosomal RNA", at positions 797 to 1455 of the family's 1533-position model. Lineage: Bacteria; Bacillati; Bacillota; Bacilli; Caryophanales; Bacillaceae. The record is from RNAcentral.
CACCCGUAAUCGAUGAUGCUACGUGUUAGGGGGUGUCUGCCCUCUAGUGCUGCAGCUAAUGCCUCAAGCACUCUGCCUGGGGAGUACGGUCGCAAGACUGAAACUCAAAGGAAUUGACGGGGGCCCGCACAAGCGGUGGAGCAUGUGGUUUAAUUAGAAGCAACGCGAAGAACCUUACCAGGUCUUGACAUCCCGUUGACCACUGUAGAGAUAUGGUUUCCCCUUCGGGGGCAACGGUGACAGGUGGUGCAUGGUUGUCGUCAGCUCGUGUCGUGAGAUGUUGGGUUAAGUCCCGCAACGAGCGCAACCCUUGAUUUUAGUUGCCAUCAUUUAGUUGGGCACUUUAAGGUGACUGCCGGUGACAAACCGGAGGAAGGUGGGGAUGACGUCAAAUCAUCAUGCCCCUUAUGACCUGGGCUACACACGUGCUACAAUGGACGAUACAAACGGUUGCCAACUCGCGAGAGGGAGCUAAUCCGAUAAAGUCGUUCUCAGUUCGGAUUGUAGGCUGCAACUCGCCUACAUGAAGCCGGAGUCGCUAGUAAUCGCGGAUCAGCAUGCCGCGGUGAAUACGUUCCCGGGCCUUGUACACACCGCCCGUCACACCAUGAGAAGUUUGUAACACCCGAAGUCGGUGAGGAAACCGUAAGGAGCCAGCCG